This 66-nucleotide transfer RNA is filed under the name Aphrocallistes vastus (cloud sponge). RNAcentral's name for it is "tRNA-Leu". It matches the Rfam family "tRNA". Rfam says of the family: Transfer RNA (tRNA) molecules are approximately 80 nucleotides in length. Their secondary structure includes four short double-helical elements and three loops (D, anti-codon, and T loops). Further hydrogen bonds mediate the characteristic L-shaped molecular structure. tRNAs have two regions of fundamental functional importance: the anti-codon, which is responsible for specific mRNA codon recognition, and the 3' end, to which the tRNAs corresponding amino acid is attached (by aminoacyl-tRNA synthetases). tRNAs cope with the degeneracy of the genetic code in two manners: having more than one tRNA (with a specific anti-codon) for a particular amino acid; and 'wobble' base-pairing, i.e. permitting non-standard base-pairing at the 3rd anti-codon position. Lineage: Eukaryota; Metazoa; Porifera; Hexactinellida; Sceptrulophora; Aphrocallistidae. The record is from RNAcentral.
AUAGAUAAAGCAAAUUAUGCACUUGACUUAGAAUCAAGAAUAUGUAGAAUCAUUCUACUAUCUAAA